AUGGCUCCCGCCGCAAAGCGGGGCGCCAAGGGCACCAAAUGGAACAGAGACCCGCAGCUCGGGGACCUCGUCCUCGCCAAGGUCAAGGGCUACCCUUUCUGGCCAGCCAAGGUGAGCAGGCCGGAGGAUUGGAAUCAGGAGCCCACUCCGCGCAAGUUCUUUGUCCUCUUCUUUGGCACCAAAGAGAUUGCUUUCGUAGGUUUGCCAGAUCUCCAGCCAUUUACAGAACAGGUGAAGAAUGACUUGGUAAAUCAAGCUCGAGAGAAAAGAUUUCCGAAAAGACAUGCGAAAGGUCUUGAAGAAGCCUUGGUGGAGAUAUGCAAGGCCUAUGACGAGCUGCCAAAAUCAUCUGAAACUGCCAAUGAUGUGUUGCCUGAUCAAACUCUUGAUAUGAGUGAGAAACCUACAGAAUCCCUUGUAAAGCCACCUGAUGAUGGUGAGACUCCAAGAGUGGAACAAAUGGAAGUUGAUAGUUCUGUGGACAACUUGAAUACUUUAAGGCACGGUUCAGGAACCGAGGAGAAUGUGAAAGAUGGUGGUCAUGACAGAAAGGACAUUGUUCCAGCAGUUAUUAAUAGGAAAAAACCUGCAGAAAAGGAUUCUGACCAUCCCAAGAAAAAGAAGCCUGUGACAUCGAAGUCAGCUACCAACAUGCACCUUGAACAAAUGGAAGUUGAUAGUUCUGUGGGCAACUUGAAUAAUUUAAGGCACGGUUCAGGAACUGAGGAGAACGUGAAAGAUGGUGGUCAUGACAGAAAGGAUACUUUUCCAACAGUUACUAAUAGGAAAAAAUCUGUAGAAAAGAAUUCUGACCAUCCCAAGAAAAAGAAGCCUGUCACAUCGAAGUCAGCUAUCAACAUGCACCUUGAACAAGCACGCUCACCAACCUCUCUGUUCUCAGGAAGAGAGACUGAAGGCCAAAAAGUUGGGAAAGAGGGCCGUCCAACUGAAGGUAUCCUUUUGGACCCUAAUGUAGAGAUAGUUUGUGCCCUUGAAGUGCCAAAGAAAGAUAAAUCCAAGAUGCAGUUGAAGACUGCUGACAGGGAGGAAAACAAGCAUGUCGAUGGCACUGGUAUUUCUGGGAGGACUACUCCUGAGGCUCUACCUGGUACUGUACCAGCCAAUAGUGCUGACAAAGAGAGCGGAGGAUUUAGAAAGCUGAAACCGAUGAUGAAACAAUCACUUAUGGACAAAUCAGAGAGAAGGUGCCCUAACAAAGUAAUGGUUGACAAGCCUAACAAGCAGUUGACUGUAAAAUCACCUGUUGUCUUGUCUUCCAAUAAGAAAUCUCUGCCUGGUAGUGGUCAGCGCAAGCCGGAGGGUAGCACUGAUAUGCGUCCGGCAAAGAGGCCAAAACUAGUAGACAGAGCCAAUGAAACAGUUAAGACAGGGGCAAAGAGUGAACUUAGGUUACCUGUUGAUAAUGGAAAGGAUAAUUCUGUGAAAAAUGAGAAAUCCACUUCCGUUGGAGCCAGAAACAACACAUUUCCCGAGACUGUAACCGCUGAUGGUAGGACAAGGAAAUCAGGUGUAGUUGUAUCACCCCUACCAAGGCCGCAUUCUGAGCGAAUGGAACAGGCACCUGGUUCUGCAACCAAGUUAAUUGGUUUUGAUACUGCUAAGAAGGGCUCCAGCAUGAGGGAGGAUGGCUCACGUGUUGGUAGGCCAUUGGCACAACCCAGGAGAAGAGCAUGUCGUUUCGAUGAUGAUGAGGAGGAAGAACAACGAACCCCACCUCAUAAAACUGUGGCCAAAUCAAUCUCCACUCAUGUAACCCCAACAGACAAGAUCCAUCAGACAGGUAUUCGGGGGAUUCCUUCAUCACAAGUUGGCAAUGUUUCUGCAAAAAAAUCUGGUUUGGCAAGAGAAGAGAAACCCAGAAGUGUUGGAAGGUCACCUGUGAAGCACGAGCCAAUUUAUUCACCAAGUCAAGGUAAAGUGCACGCUAGACCACAAAUGACUGGGCGAAAAUCGGCCACUAUCUCAGUUGACACUUCUUCUGCUUUGGGUAACAAGAUUAACCCGGCAGACCGCAAAUCCUCGGACCAAUUAAAAAAUCCAGGAUCAUCUGAAGUGAAGAAACCGCAAGGUAGUUCUUCUAAAGUAGUGCAGCAGACAUCUGGGAACUCUCACUCUCAAAGCCAUGCUACCUUAGAAAAGAAUGUACUUCUGUCUAAAUCAGAAAAUGCCAAGGUUAAAGCUAAGCCCAGCACACAGAUAGCUAUGACUGCCGAGAAUAGGUUAAGUGCCACUUUGUCAGAUGAACGAAGCGGGAAGCUGGAUCACUCUAAAGAGGACAGAUCAAAUUUUGUUGAUAAAGCAGAUUUCGCUGAGUCUAAUGCUGACUCUGACAAGUCAAUUAAGCGUCUUAUUGCAGCUGCCCAAGCAAAGAGAAACCAUCUUGCGUCUGGUCAAGGAAAUUCUGAUGGCUCUUCUGCAGAUAAUGCUGUUCUUGCUUCCGCAGCGUAUGGCUUGCCUGGACUAAGUCCUAGUCCUGUUUUUCACAUUCCUUCUGCAUCAAGAAAUGCUAUUUCAGAGGGUGACAUCAUGCAAUCUCAAGAUUCCAUCUGUGAACCUGGUCACCGAGUUGAUCUGAAAAAGCCAGCAGAAACUGACCAUGAACAUGAAAAGAGUCCGAAACCUAAGCAAUCCAGCAGUUCACUGGGUGGUGGUACUGAUGCAGCAAUUGCACGUGAUGCCCUGGAGGGAAUGAUAGAGACUCUGUCGAGGACAAAGGAUAGUAUAGGUCGUGCUACACGUCAUGCAAUCGAGUGCUUGAAACAUGGCAUUGCUGAAGAGAUUGUUGCGCUUCUCAUAAGGAAAAUCGAGAAUGAGCCUAAUUUGCAUCGCAAGGUUGAUCUCCUUUUUCUUUUGGACUCCAUAACACAGUGUUCUCACUCUCAGAAAGGCGUUGCUGGGGCUUCAUAUGUUCCCACUGUUCAAGCUGCAUUACCUCGUCUUUUGAGUGCUGCUGCUCCACCUGUAGCUGGUGCUCGUGAAAACCGACGCCAGUGCCUAAAAGUUUUAAGAUUGUGGCUAGAGAGAAAGAUUAUGCCAGAAAAUGUACUGCGAAAAUACAUGAAUGACAUAGAGGUGCCAAAUGAUAACACACACGCUGGUUUCAUGCUCAGGCGACCGUCCCGAGCUGAACGUUCUGUUGAUGACCCUAUUAGGGAGAUGGAUGACAUGCUUGUUGAUGAAUAUGGCAGUAAUACAACCAUUGAGUUCUCUGGAAUAUUAUCAUCAAAUGUCUUUGUAAAUGAUGAGGAUUUCCGUCGGAUUGAUGGGUCAUUGCCAGUUAUUUCACUGCGAGUUGGAGGGGGUGGGAUACAAGAAAGUGAAGAGAUUAUUGCUCCAAACUCUGUUGAGGAACACAUUACGGUACUAGAAAGUGCAACUAGUGAUGCUGUAAUGGAAGAUGCUUCAGUUUUACCAAGGAACAGUCAACAGAUAGAGGGAUCUACCCUCAUUGAGCAUGAUUCUAAGCAGGAAGCAGGUUCAGAGGAGGCAUUGACUAAUCAGUACGAGCUUCCCCCUCUACCUGAGGGUCCUCCACCUCUUCCACUGGAUUCAUUAUCUCCCCAGCCUUUACCUGAGGGCCCUCCACCUCUUCCAUUGGAUUCACCGCCUCCCCCACCUCCUUUGCCCCCUUCACCACCACCUGCUACACCACCUCCGCCGCCACCACCACUUUCACCAUCUUCGCCACCUCCACCGCCACCCCUGCCAUCUGGACCACCUCCGCAGCCUGCUCCACCACCUCCUCAUCCUUCAAUCCCGCCACCUGUUCCGUCAUCUCCAUCAUCACUGGGUUAUCAGCAUGCCAUGCCAGAAUAUUUUAGGCCUCCCAAUGGUAACCAACUAACAGGAAAUUCAUCAAUUCAAGGUGUUGGAAAUACGCCGAACUUUAUGCCUGCUGUACCAGUGAAUGCACAAGCUCCAGUUAAUUAUGCCCCAUCAUUGCCACCGGAUUAUGGAAGCAACAAUAUCUUUCUGCCACAGCAAGCUUCUAAUGGUAAUUAUCAGUUUCAGCCUGGUGUAUCUUUUCAUCAAGGGGCUUUCAGUGCUUUCCCAUCGGCACAAACACCACCAGUUCACCCCCACACUCAUCACACACACAUUAACCCCAUGGGCCAACAAUCUGUACCACCUCCAUGCAAUUCUUAUGGUGUACAGCCCUUUCCAAAUAGUCAAAGCCAGUAUACAUCGGAAGAACAGUGGCGAAUGACAUCUGGUAACUUCAGUCCAGAUGACCAGCAUAAUACCUGGUUACCAGGUGGCAGAUCACUAUCUUGUUCAGACGGGUCAUUCAUGCAGGAUGGGUAUCCGAGGUCGAACAUUGACAGAUCUUCAAUGAAUCCAAUGAGUCAUCAACAUGCUGUACUUAACCAUUUGCCGUCUGGAGCACCACAUCCAGGCCAUGUUGUUCCUCACAUGCUGCCAGCCAAGCCUGAUAUUCAUGCACUUAAUUGCUGGAGGCCUUCUGGAUGA
RNAcentral lists this ribosomal RNA (4491 nucleotides) under Triticum aestivum (bread wheat). Its description in RNAcentral is "partial small subunit ribosomal RNA". Lineage: Eukaryota; Viridiplantae; Streptophyta; Magnoliopsida; Poales; Poaceae. The record is from RNAcentral.